UGACCUCAGCUCAGGCGAGAUUAC
This 24-nucleotide ribosomal RNA is filed under the name Milnesium tardigradum. RNAcentral's name for it is "partial 28S ribosomal RNA". Lineage: Eukaryota; Metazoa; Tardigrada; Eutardigrada; Apochela; Milnesiidae. The record is from RNAcentral.